GCCACGUCACUCUUCUUUUUAACGUUAGAAUGGGGCGCAGGUAGUUCAAAGAAAUGGCCACGGAGCCGGGUGUGCGUUUGCUACCGCAGAAACCAAGAACCCUUCCAGAUGGGUGCUAUUUUGGCGUGGAAUUCAAUCACACACUAGGCUGUGCAAUCAAUGAUAGUUGAUUGGGAGAUCUGGCCUUGCGAGUGGGCAGACAGGCCGCACGCAGGACUUGAGCAGCCGACACAGUGAGGGCGGGACUCCUCCAGCAGCAGCCCCUGCCCGCUCCCGCCACCACCCACAGAGAGAACAUACAGUUACUGUAAACCUCCCAGAGAGCUUCGGCUGUUGAUGGACUUUUUGAUGAACUUUGCCUGGUUAAAAAGUUUGUGCCUGAGGUCAGAACAUCUGAUCUUCCUCUGGAUGAGAAAUGGGUGCAGUUGCUAAAGAGCAUCAGAUCAAGAAUUCUGGUGAAGGUUGUCAGUGCAGUGUUUGCCAUCCCAGUAAGCAAUGCUUUCGUGGAGAGAGCGUUUUCACUAAUGGGCAAUGUAUGGACUGACAACAGGAACCGUAUGUUACCUUCCCUUGUUAAAGCAGAGCUUUGUGUCAAAUUAAACUUUGGCAUGAACUGUGCUGAGUUUUUUAAAUAUGUGAAGGAAGAACAAAGGUUGCUUAAAGCUUGUGUUUCAAAUGAGAAGUACAAAUUCUCAACUCAGCCUGUUUAGUUAUUUAACACCAGUUCCUACAGUGAAAGCACCUUGUUCAUUCUUUCUGUUUUUCUUUUAUAAAGAGUAAUACUGUUUAUAAUGUUUAUAAUGGUUGAAAACAUCCCUUGGAUGUCAUCGACUUCUCUUUUGUAAGAGAGAUAAAUGUCUAAAACCAGCUGCAAUUUCAUUGCUUCAGUGGGUCUCUACUCUAGUUGGGACUAGAUUGAUUGGUGAUGUAACCUGCCUUUGUUCUCUUAAAGA
Molecule: long non-coding RNA, 953 nt
Organism: Rhineura floridana
Lineage: Eukaryota; Metazoa; Chordata; Lepidosauria; Squamata; Rhineuridae
Exons: 3
Source: RefSeq, a predicted model, not a curated record